Molecule: ribosomal RNA, 482 nt
Filed under: uncultured bacterium
Lineage: Bacteria
Description: bacterial SSU rRNA
Rfam family: Bacterial small subunit ribosomal RNA
Source: RNAcentral
AGUCAAUAGAUACCCUGGUAGUCCACGCCGUAAACGAUGGAUACUAGAUGUUCGGAGAGUUAAACCCUCUGAGUAUCAAAAAGCUAACGCGGUAAGUAUCCCGCCUGGGAAGUACGGUCGCAAGACUAAAACUCAAAGGAAUUGACGGGGGCCCGCACAAGCGGUGGAGUAUGUGGUUUAAUUCGAAGCAACGCGAAGAACCUUACCUGGGUUUAACAUCCCCUGACAACCUCAGAGAUGAGGCUUUCCCUUCGGGGUACAGGGAGAUAGGUGCUGCAUGGCUGUCGUCAGCUCGUGUCGUAAGAUGUUGGGUUAAGUCCCGCAACGAGCGCAACCCUUAUCUCUAGUUACCAUCAUUAAGUUGGGGGACUCUAGAGAGACUGCCGGUGUUAAGCCGGAGGAAGGCGGGGAUGACGUCAAGUCCUCAUGGCCCUUAUGUCCAGGGCUACACACGUACUACAAUGGCAGAGUCAAAGCGACGC